This 317-nucleotide ribosomal RNA is filed under the name uncultured Bacteroidales bacterium. RNAcentral describes it as "bacterial SSU rRNA". It matches the Rfam family "Bacterial small subunit ribosomal RNA", at positions 28 to 339 of the family's 1533-position model. Lineage: Bacteria; Pseudomonadati; Bacteroidota; Bacteroidia; Bacteroidales. The record is from RNAcentral.
GAUGAACGCUAGCGGCAGGCUUAACACAUGCAAGUCGAGGGGCAGCGCGGGUGUAGCAAUACAUCUGGCGGCGACCGGCGCAAGGGUGCGUAACGCGUGAGCGACAUGCCCGUGACCGGGGGAUAACCGAUGGAAACGUCGCCUAACCCCCCAUAUGAUCAUCCAUCGCAUGGUGGUUGAUUGAAAACCGUGGUGGUCACGGAUUGGCUCGCGUCCCAUUAGCUAGUCGGCGGGGUAACGGCCCACCAAGCCCUCGAUCAGUAGGGGUUCUGAGAGGAAGGUCCCCCACAUUGGAACUGAGACACGGUCCAGACUCC